UACGUAGGGGGCGAGCGUUGUCCGGAAUCACUGGGCGUAAAGGGCGCGUAGGCGGUAUAUUAAGUCAGGUGUGAAAGUUUUCGGCUCAACCGGAAAAGUGCACUUGAAACUAAUAAACUUGAGUACUGGAGAGGUAAGCGGAAUUCCUAGUGUAGCGGUGAAAUGCUUAGAUAUCACACAGAACACCGAUUGCGAAGGCAGCACACUAAGUCAUUAUUGACGCUGAGGCACGAAAGUGUGGGGAUCAAACAGGAUUAGAUACCCUGGUAGU
This 271-nucleotide ribosomal RNA is filed under the name uncultured prokaryote. RNAcentral's name for it is "partial 16S ribosomal RNA". It matches the Rfam family "Bacterial small subunit ribosomal RNA", at positions 524 to 794 of the family's 1533-position model. The record is from RNAcentral.